AUUUCUUCAGAAAUAUAAAGAGAUUGCUAAUCCUCGUUUUCUAGAGACGAAAGAGAUUGGGCUCUACUUUCAGAUGAAUGGUAUUCACUUGUGAGGCCUUCCCAUCUCCAUAUAUUUUUUAUUGUGAUUUCCAUUCGUUCGAAUUAAUAUACGCUACACUUGUAUAAAUUGACCCCAUUUUAUCAAAUCACCGUUUCAGCUCCGACGCCAAAGAAAAAAAAUAAAAUAAAAUAAAGACACAAUAGUCAUGCCAAAGAAAAA
This 261-nucleotide unclassified non-coding RNA is filed under the name Hevea brasiliensis (rubber tree). The record is from RNAcentral. Lineage: Eukaryota; Viridiplantae; Streptophyta; Magnoliopsida; Malpighiales; Euphorbiaceae.